Molecule: ribosomal RNA, 379 nt
Filed under: uncultured Pseudomonas sp.
Lineage: Bacteria; Pseudomonadati; Pseudomonadota; Gammaproteobacteria; Pseudomonadales; Pseudomonadaceae
Description: bacterial SSU rRNA
Rfam family: Bacterial small subunit ribosomal RNA
Source: RNAcentral
GAGAUGGAUUGGUGCCUUCGGGAACUCUGACACAGGUGCUGCAUGGCUGUCGUCAGCUCGUGUCGUGAGAUGUUGGGUUAAGUCCGUAACGAGCGCAACCCUUGUCCUUAGUUACCAGCACGUUAUGGUGGGCACUCUAAGGAGACUGCCGGUGACAAACCGGAGGAAGGUGGGGAUGACGUCAAGUCACCAUGGCCCUUACGGCCUGGGCUACACACGUGCUACAAUGGUCGGUACAAAGGGUUGCCAAGCCGCGAGGUGGAGCUAAUCCCAUAAAACCGAUCGUAGUCCGGAUCGCAGUCUGCAACUCGACUGCGUGAAGUCGGAAUCGCUAGUAAUCGUGAAUCAGAAUGUCACGGUGAAUACGUUCCCGGGCCUU